RNAcentral lists this ribosomal RNA (234 nucleotides) under uncultured bacterium. RNAcentral describes it as "partial 16S ribosomal RNA". It matches the Rfam family "Bacterial small subunit ribosomal RNA", at positions 118 to 347 of the family's 1533-position model. The record is from RNAcentral.
UGAGGAACAUGACCUUCGGCGGGGGAUAGCCGGCCCAACGGCCGGGUAAUACCGCGUACGACCACAUGGGGACAUCCCUGAGUGGUGAAAGCAGCAAUGCGCCGAUGGAGUGCCUCGCGGCCUAUCAGCUAGUUGGUGAGGUAACGGCUCACCAAGGCGACGACGGGUAGCUGGUCUGAGAGGAUGGCCAGCCANAUUGGGACUGAGACACGGCCCAGACCUGUACCGGGGAGG